Non-coding RNA from Schistocerca gregaria, 73 nucleotides. The record is from the annotation of a RefSeq genome assembly. Lineage: Eukaryota; Metazoa; Arthropoda; Insecta; Orthoptera; Acrididae.
AGCCGGCUAGCUCAGUCGGUAGAGCUUGAGACUUCUAAUCCCAGGGUCGUGGGUUCGAUUCCCACACUGGGUG